ACGACGUUGUUGUCGCCUUAGUAGCGGCGAGUGAAGCGGCAAAAGCUCAAAUUUGAAAUCUGGCUCUUUCAGAGUCCGAGUUGUAAUUUGAAGAAGGUAUCUUUGGGUCUGGCUCUUGUCUAUGUUUCUUGGAACAGAACGUCACAGAGGGUGAGAAUCCCGUGCGAUGAGAUGAUCCAGGCCUAUGUAAAGUUCCUUCGAAGAGUCGAGUUGUUUGGGAAUGCAGCUCUAAGUGGGUGGUAAAUUCCAUCUAAAGCUAAAUAUUGGCGAGAGACCGAUAGCGAACAAGUACAGUGAUGGAAAGAUGAAAAGAACUUUGAAAAGAGAGUGAAAAAGUACGUGAAAUUGUUGAAAGGGAAGGGCUUGAGAUCAGACUUGGUAUUUUGUAUGUUACUUCUUCGGGGGUGGCCUCUACAGUUUAUCGGGCCAGCAUCAGUUUGGGCGGUAGGAGAAUUGCGUUGGAAUGUGGCACGGCUUCGGUUGUGUGUUAUAGCCUUCGUCGAUACUGCCAGCCUAGACUGAGGACUGCGGUUUAUACCUAGGAUGUUGGCAUAAUGAUCUUAAGUCGC
Molecule: ribosomal RNA, 569 nt
Filed under: Candida tropicalis
Lineage: Eukaryota; Fungi; Ascomycota; Pichiomycetes; Serinales; Debaryomycetaceae
Description: partial large subunit ribosomal RNA
Rfam family: Eukaryotic large subunit ribosomal RNA
Source: RNAcentral